Manis pentadactyla (Chinese pangolin) is the source of this 521-nucleotide long non-coding RNA. RefSeq lists it as uncharacterized. The transcript is spliced from 3 exons. NCBI's taxonomy places the organism in Eukaryota, Metazoa, Chordata, Mammalia, Pholidota, Manidae. The record is from RefSeq and is a predicted model, not a curated record.
CUAGCCACUUAGGCAAUGUGACCUCCAGGCCAGUGGGUUGGCUGCCGGGAAAGCACCUGCGUGCGGGCACUGUGCCAACCAUGAGGACGACGGGAUUCUGACUGCUCAGGCCCUGGGGCUCUCCCCCUCACAGAAAUGGGGAUCCAGGUGAUAAGUCUUCUCUACUUCCAUCUCCAUGUUUGAAAGAAGAGGCAAUCUAAUCUAGGGCCUUCCGAGGAUGGAGAAAGCCAUGGCCGCCCUGUGCCAGCACAGAGCCCAGCCGACUGACCGACAAUCUCGACGAGGGAUAAGGUCACCUCUGGCUUGGAAGGCAAUGAAGACACAGAGAAGCAGGGCAGCGUCUCGGUGGCUCGUUCCAGGGAUGAGGGCCAGCCCAGAACCACAGACAGUUUUUGGGUGUGACCACUGCUGCCAGCAGCCCACUGUGCUUCUCAGGACAGCCACUCACAUGCAUGGUGGACCAUUGUGCUUAUAGGAACUGAUCUCGGGGAACUGGGAAUAAACACCAAACCAAGCUCAGA